GACAAACGCUGGCGGCGUGCCUAACACAUGCAAGUCGAACGGAGACACGAUUUCGGUUGUAUCUUAGUGGCGAACGGGUGAGUAACGCGUGAACAACCUGACUCUUAGAGGGGGAUAACACUCGGAAACGGGUGCUAAUACCGCAUAAGACCACGACCCGGCAUCGGGAUGAGGUCAAAGGAGCAAUCCGCUGAGAGAGGGGUUCGCGUCCCAUUAGAUAGAUGGCGGGGUAACGGCCCACCAUGUCAACGAUGGGUAGCCGAGCUGAGAGGCUGAUCGGCCACACUGGAACUGAGACACGGUCCAGACUCCUACGGGAGGCAGCAGUGGGGAAUAUUGGGCAAUGGGCGCAAGCCUGACCCAGCAACGCCGCGUGAGGGAAGAAGGCUUUCGGGUUGUAAACCUCUGUCCUUGGUGACGAAACAAAUGACGGUAGCCAAGGAGGAAGCCCCGGCUAACUACGUGCCAGCAGCCGCGGUAA
This 481-nucleotide ribosomal RNA is filed under the name uncultured bacterium. RNAcentral describes it as "partial 16S ribosomal RNA". It matches the Rfam family "Bacterial small subunit ribosomal RNA", at positions 28 to 523 of the family's 1533-position model. The record is from RNAcentral.